Molecule: unclassified non-coding RNA, 227 nt
Filed under: Hevea brasiliensis (rubber tree)
Lineage: Eukaryota; Viridiplantae; Streptophyta; Magnoliopsida; Malpighiales; Euphorbiaceae
Source: RNAcentral
UAUUUUGCAUUUCACAAAACAAAAAUAUCAAAUACAGUAUUUAUGACUUAAAAUAAAGGCUGACUCAUUUUCAUGACCUUUUGUUUAUCAUAUGUUCUUUUCCUUUUCUCAUAUAAAGAAAAGAAUUUUUAUAUUUUCCAUGCAAAUUUCCAAUAUUUAUUAGUUUUAGUUUUAACAUGCAUGUAACCUAAAAAUAAAUUCAAUGGUAUAAAAAUAAAGUAAAUAGA